CGAGCGGCCUCCGCACGAGCAUUUUUCUGUUUCUUAAGGGACACCAGCAACUGAUUUGCAGUUGGCUCAGCUCCUCCGCUAGUGCCUCCAGCCUUCGCCAACUCCUUGAACUACUUUGUCACUACAGCACUGUUGGCGCCCGACACCCCCCUUCGCCGCAACAAAAACCUGCCUGUUGUCCACACUUUUAACUCGUAUCGAGAAUCGGUUGGGCCUAUUCCCUGGUGACCGUGUUGGCCCCUAUUACAAAAAAAGGGAAAGAGGAAAAAGACUCUUUCAAUCACGAGAUAUGCGAGAGGACAGACUUUUUUUUGACAAUGAAUGUCAAAAUGUGUUAAAAUGUACAAUGCCUGUAACGGAAAUCCGGAUUCCUUAAAAUCGAGCAAAUCCUGGACUUUGAGGACGAUUUUCCUAACCUAGGACUGGUUGGGUUACGUUUUUAUGAAAAUUAUUGGCAUUAAACCGUUCAAAAAAUCUGUAAACGUUUGUUUUUUUUGUUUUUUCUAGCUUCUAAUAUAAAUUUUUGAAGUUUUUAAAUAAUUCCUGCUCAUUUUUAAUGCAUACUGCGACCAAACGUGCCUCAUUUAGUUCGAACAAUAUGUCUGAUUCGUUUGAAGUAUGUAACAAGACAUGAGGCCACUAUUGUUUUGCAAACAUAGUCGUUAUUUUAUAUCUCAAGAUUUGCAAAAUAUUUCCAAGUCAUUUGGCCAGUUAUUCAUUGGCCACAUGAAUGGUGAUCACGACUUGUCGUGUGGGUCAGGCUCUUAAUAAAAGACAUAUCUUCAAUAUCUCCGCCUUCAAAAUAAAAUCCAUUUUUCUAAGUUUCUGCAUAACAUUUCUCUUAAACAGUUUUUUUUUUUGCAAAUACUCCGAAGCCCAACCGUGCCAAAAAUGGCCAUUUUUGUGUUAACAGUUAUAGAACACGUCUUAUAGUGUGUAUGGUUGUGAUUUGUAUACUAAGAACUGAUCUGUAUAUCCCGCAAAAACUUCUUUCCUGACUCCCCCAGCUUACUGUGUCUUCAUCCCCGUAGUGUUAUAGCCCAAUUCCGUCUUCGGUUGUGGUGUUCUCUAGUAUCAAAGAGUUUUGUUCAGUAUAAGGAUCUUGAAAUGUUCCAGGGGUCGAUCGAAAGAAAUAUUGCUGCACGGACACAGCCCUUGUUGCAGGACGCAACAGUCCCACUAGUCGCGAACCUCCCCGUCCACUUUAGACGCGCCGAACUGCAAACCGGCAGCCUUUCUGAGACUUCCGCUGGUUUUGUCGUCAUUCCCGAUCCGUUUCUGGCCUACAACACAUUUAAAACCACAAAAAGCCGUCGAUUCCUCGGUUAAACCAGCGUUCCCCAGUGGCGAAUUCACCUGUGUCGUGUAGAGACGUCUUCACUUUUACAGUCGGAAACGGAUCGAAUAUUUAAAAUUUCUAAUUUUUGCAGAUUUCCUGUUUUAGUGUUCACAAAUUGUUGUCCGUCAUUGUUAUGUUCCACUACCACACUACUGCAGACCACUUAGUCAAGGGGACAAGCAGUGGCGGAUCAACCUAGGAGCGGUCGCUCGAGGCCUCGUCGGUCGGGGGGGGCCCCAUCGGUAAGGGAAAUCCUUGUUAUUUCCCACACACAAUCCACCACUGGGGACAAGCUUUUACCAUGAUGUUCACAAUUUUACUCCAAAAUAUCCGAAUUUUACGGAGCACCUUCAGUGCGUUAUCGACAGACGUGUUAAGAACCCCUGACUGUUGUUGUGUGUUUGGCAACCGGGGAAAGACGACAGCAAAAAGCGCGACCGAAAAAAGCGUCAUUCGGAAUAGAAAGUCAAAACCGUGCGGACGUGUGUUCUUCAUAGUUAAAAAACUUUUCGAAGCAACAGUGAGAUUCAACAGUGUUGUGAUAUAUUCUCACCAACUUGUUCCUGUUCCAUGUUGACACGGCGUCAUGCGAGUGUCGAUGCAUUCAAACCAUCCACAACCUAUGAUGUGCUACAACUGUGCUCAUUACGGUCAGACCAAAAUGGGAUGCAUAGUAGCACAAUCCGGCUACAACUGCCGUACGCCUGCCCUCAGAGGAUUUACCGUUGAUUCCAGGCGUACUCUCUCCCUUCUGUCCGCGCUACAACCAAGAAGAACCCUUGAUCAAGUGCAAGGAUUUAGAAGGAAAUAAACUACCGGUUGAUUUUGUUACAGAACGUCCCUCCUUCCUCUACGACACAUCAUCACCAACAGACUCGUCUUAGCUGCAGCUGUGCAGCAGGAUCCUUGAAAAAGGAAUAGACGCUCCUGCCCUCAUGACAGGGAAAUAUAUCCCUGGUUCUAUCGUACUCUUGCAAUGGACGAGGAACUGCAACGAAUACUCCGGGCAACCGGAAAAGGCAGCUACAUCACCAACGUCAACUUCACACUCCUGGUCCGGAACAAAUGCCAGCACUAUCACCAGUCUCUACACAGACGGCUCCGUUUAUCAGGAGUCAGGCGGCGGCUGUGAGAUCUUUUCCAGCCUCGAAAACUAUUCGCCAAUGAAAAGAUUUCGUACCGACAAUCUCAACUCCAUCUUCACCAACAGUGCAAGUGUUCUGACCGCCGUUGAACACGGAACUUCCAAAGACCGUCGUCUCAUCCAGUUCCUUGACGCCCAUUCCUUCGUUUCCUGCUGUUACGCAUUAGCUUUACAAUGUCAUACGCCAUGCACGCCUAACUUAAAAAAAUCCCAUUUUUUGAGUCAUCAUACAGCUAUGCGAUAUAAAUCUAAAUCUCAUGCAUUUGCCAGCGAAUACCCGUACCGAACAACUGAAACCAGAAGCAAUUUAUAAAAAUCAAAUCAUCAUGUGGAUUUGUAAUAAAGUUGCAUAUGCAACGCUCAAAAUCA
Long non-coding RNA from Anopheles stephensi (Asian malaria mosquito), 2852 nucleotides. RefSeq lists it as uncharacterized. The transcript is spliced from 2 exons. The record is from RefSeq and is a predicted model, not a curated record. NCBI's taxonomy places the organism in Eukaryota, Metazoa, Arthropoda, Insecta, Diptera, Culicidae.